CAUUUUCAUCGUGGCGAUCGCUGGAGGAAGACAACGAGACUUCGUCGAACACGGACGAGCGGGCCUGACCCUUCGCUGCCUGUGGAGUACAUGCGACCUGCGAGCGUCACCUGGUGCGGAUGAAAUCACAUGGAGGCCACAAGAAAUCAUAUCAAGCAAAUUGUUGAGUAUCGAGUGAAAAUUGAACACGGACUCACUUCACCGGAAAUCGCUCUGCAAAUAGUUUAAAAAGUCCUUUCUACUACUGCUGCUCUGUACACUGACCCCUUCACCAGGAAUCGCUCUGAAAAUAAUUUAAAAAGUCCUUUCAACUACUGCUGGUCUGCACACUGACCACUUCACCAGGAAUCGCUCUGAAACUAAUUUAAAAA
Ctenocephalides felis (cat flea) is the source of this 371-nucleotide long non-coding RNA. RefSeq lists it as uncharacterized. The transcript has 5 exons. The record is from RefSeq and is a predicted model, not a curated record. NCBI's taxonomy places the organism in Eukaryota, Metazoa, Arthropoda, Insecta, Siphonaptera, Pulicidae.